This 253-nucleotide ribosomal RNA is filed under the name uncultured bacterium. RNAcentral describes it as "partial 16S ribosomal RNA". It matches the Rfam family "Bacterial small subunit ribosomal RNA", at positions 524 to 776 of the family's 1533-position model. The record is from RNAcentral.
UACGUAGGGGGCAAGCGUUAUCCGGAUUUACUGGGUGUAAAGGGAGCGCAGGCGGUGUGGCAAGUCUGAUGUGAAAACCCGGGGCUCAACCCCGGGCCUGCAUUGGAAACUGUCAUACUGGAGUGUCGGAGAGGUAAGCGGAAUUCCUAGUGUAGCGGUGAAAUGCGUAGAUAUUAGGAGGAACACCAGUGGCGAAGGCGGCUUACUGGACGACAACUGACGCUGAGGCUCGAAAGCGUGGGGAGCAAACAGG